GACGAACGCUGGCGGCGUGCCUAAUACAUGCAAGUAGAACGCUGAAGGAGGAGCUUGCUUCUCUGGAUGAGUUGCGAACGGGUGAGUAACGCGUAGGUAACCUGCCUGGUAGCGGGGGAUAACUAUUGGAAACGAUAGCUAAUACCGCAUAAGAUUGACUAUUGCAUGAUAGUCAGUUAAAAGGUGCAAUUGCAUCACUACCAGAUGGACCUGCGUUGUAUUAGCUAGUUGGUGGGGUAACGGCUCACCAAGGCGACGAUACAUAGCCGACCUGAGAGGGUGGUCGGCCACACUGGGACUGAGACACGGCCCAGACUCCUACGGGAGGCAGCAGUAGGGAAUCUUCGGCAAUGGACGGAAGUCUGACCGAGCAACGCCGCGUGAGUGAAGAAGGUUUUCGGAUCGUAAAGCUCUGUUGUAAGAGAAGAACGAGUGUGGGAGUGGAAAGUUCACACUGUGACGGUAUCUUACCAGAAAGGGACGGCUAACUACGUG
RNAcentral lists this ribosomal RNA (495 nucleotides) under uncultured bacterium. RNAcentral describes it as "partial 16S ribosomal RNA". It matches the Rfam family "Bacterial small subunit ribosomal RNA", at positions 28 to 507 of the family's 1533-position model. The record is from RNAcentral.